This is a long non-coding RNA of Branchiostoma floridae (Florida lancelet), 842 nucleotides long. RefSeq lists it as uncharacterized. The record is from RefSeq and is a predicted model, not a curated record. Lineage: Eukaryota; Metazoa; Chordata; Leptocardii; Amphioxiformes; Branchiostomatidae. The transcript has 4 exons.
AGCCGCUUGAUUAGUCACUAGUGAGAAUAUAAAGGUAGGCAUGCAAAAAAGGCCAGGCGAGUUGGAUACGAUCUCGAGUCGAGCGUGUUUGUUACAGCGUUUGAUACGUACAGCCCGGAGUUCUGUCAGCCAAUCCUACUGAACAAGAUGAAAACGACCCUGGUGUUGCUUCUUGUCGCCUUGGUCAUCUCGUCUGAGAUGAUGACUGCGGACAGCUUUGUUGGCGGCGGCGGCAGAGGUGGAAAAGCUAUCAUGAAGGAGCGAGCCCGCAGAGGCGUGUCUCCCGUUGAGGCUCAGAAGCUGAAGGCGCUGUUGGCCCGCCGCCAGGCUGAGACUGGACGCCGUGAAGUGGAACCCCCGAGCUCGGGAGGGAGAGGCCGCGUCAAAUGAAUGGCAAAUAGGGCAGUCUGGGUGAUCACAUGACCAUCACGUCACCUGCAGUCAAGCUCUGUCAAGCUGCUUUUUGCAGACACCUAUAACAUUGCUUUAGUAGCUGCCGCUUAACAGAAAAUGUUUUUAGUUUUGACUUUGACUGAUGACAAAGUUUUACGUCUAUGUUUGUUUACGUAUGCUACGACAUAGGCCACCAAAGGCAACACGACAAAUCAAACGUUCGUUUAUAGAAAUCAUUAACUAUAGACGAAUUUUUGUAACAGCAGCAAAGUAUGCAUUCGUCUUUGUAGAAUAUGUAUAAGAUCAUGGGUCUGUUAUGUAAAACGUACAUACAUCCGUUUAGCUACGUCACAGUCUCAGUUUAUGGUAGGAUUUUAGUAGAUGCUAAGUAGAUGCCUGGAGCUGUCUGUACUGCGAUGGAAACUGCAAAUAAAACCUUGAAACUGCAA